This 416-nucleotide ribosomal RNA is filed under the name uncultured Pseudomonas sp. Its description in RNAcentral is "bacterial SSU rRNA". It matches the Rfam family "Bacterial small subunit ribosomal RNA", at positions 971 to 1382 of the family's 1533-position model. The record is from RNAcentral. Lineage: Bacteria; Pseudomonadati; Pseudomonadota; Gammaproteobacteria; Pseudomonadales; Pseudomonadaceae.
UUACCAGGCCUUGACAUGCAGAGAACUUUCCAGAGAUGGAUUGGUGCCUUCGGGAACUCUGACACAGGUGCUGCAUGGCUGUCGUCAGCUCGUGUCGUGAGGAUGUUGGGUUAAGUCCCGUAACGAGCGCAACCCUUGUCCUUAGUUACCAGCACGUUAUGGUGGGCACUCUAAGGAGACUGCCGGGUGACAAACCGGAGGAAGGUGGGGAUGACGUCAAGUCAUCAUGGCCCUUACGGCCUGGGCUACACACGUGCUACAAUGGUCGGUACAAAGGGUUGCCAAGCCGCGAGGUGGAGCUAAUCCCAAUAAAACCGAUCGUAGUCCGGAUCGCAGUCUGCAACUCGACUGCGUGAAGUCGGAAUCGCUAGUAAUCGUGAAUCAGAAUGUCACGGUGAAUACGUUCCCGGGUCCUU